RNAcentral lists this ribosomal RNA (449 nucleotides) under uncultured bacterium. RNAcentral describes it as "partial 16S ribosomal RNA". It matches the Rfam family "Bacterial small subunit ribosomal RNA", at positions 29 to 523 of the family's 1533-position model. The record is from RNAcentral.
AAUGAACGCUGGCGGCAGGCCCAACACAUGCAAGUCGAACGGAUCCUUCGGGAUUAGUGGCGGACGGGUGAGUAACGCGUGGGAACAUACCCUUUGGUACGGAAUAGCCUCGGGAAACUGGGAGUAAUACCGUAUGUGGUCGAGAGACGAAAGAUUUAUCGCCAAAGGAUUGGCCCGCGUUGGAUUAGGUAGGUGGUGGGGUACUGGCCUACCAAGCCGACGAUCCAUAGCUGGUUUGAGAGGAUGAUCAGCCACACUGGGACUGAGACACGGCCCAGACUGCUACGGGAGGCAGCAGUGGGGAAUCUUAGACAAUGGGGGAAACCCUGAUCUAGCCAUGCCGCGUGAUCGAUGAAGGCCUUAGGGUUGUAAAGAUCUUUCAGGUGGGAAGAUAAUGACUGUACCACCAGAAGAAGCCCCGGCUAACUCCGUGCCAGCCGCCGCAGUAA